AACGAACGCUGGCGGCAGGCCUAACACAUGCAAGUCGAGCGGACCUUUCGUAGUCAGCGGCGGUCGGGGGAGUCACGCGGGGGAAUAUGCCCUUCUCUACGGAAUUGUCCUGGGUAACGGGGGUAAUACUGUAUACGCCCUUUGGGGGAGAGGUUUAUCGGGGAAGGAUUAGCCCGCGUUGGAUUAGGUAGUUGGUGGGGUAAUGGCCUACCAAGCCGUCGAUCCAUAGCUGGUUUGAGAGACAGAUCAGCCACACUUAGACUGGGAAACAGCCGAGACUCUUAGGGGAGGCGGCAGAGGCGGAUCCUGGACAAUGGCGUCAACCCUGAUGGAGCCAUGCCGGGAGAGUCAUGUAGUCGUUAGAGAUGUAAAGCUCUUUCAGCUGGGAAGAUAAUGACGGUACCAGCAGAAGAAGCCCCGGCUAACUCCGUG
This 432-nucleotide ribosomal RNA is filed under the name uncultured bacterium. RNAcentral's name for it is "partial 16S ribosomal RNA". It matches the Rfam family "Bacterial small subunit ribosomal RNA", at positions 29 to 507 of the family's 1533-position model. The record is from RNAcentral.